Molecule: ribosomal RNA, 253 nt
Filed under: uncultured bacterium
Lineage: Bacteria
Description: partial 16S ribosomal RNA
Rfam family: Bacterial small subunit ribosomal RNA
Source: RNAcentral
UACGGGGGGGGCAAGCGUUGUUCGGAAUUACUGGGCGUAAAGGGCUCGUAGGUGGCCAACUAAGUCAACCGUGAAAUCCCUCGGCUUAACCGGGGAACUGCGUUUGAUACUGGAUGGCUUGAGUUUGGGAGAGGGAUGCGGAAUUCCGGGUGUAGUGGUGAAAUGCGUAGAGAUCCGGAGGAAUACCAGUGGCGCAAGCGGCGCUCUGGGUCGAGCCUGACACUGAGACGCGAAGGCAUGGGGAGCGAACGGG